AAAAAAAAAGAUGAGGCAAAAAGAAACUGUGAAAAGUGUUUAGCAAUGAGCAAGAGAGGGAGCUUACAAACUCUUUGAUGGUCAAUUAGCCAGAAAAUGUGCUAAAGCCUGGGUGCUGUGCUGGAUUACAGGCCCAGGAAUUACCCCCAAGGUCCUCAGAGUGGUCCUGCCGUCUGAGCACAGAGACAAUUACAGACCUCUAGGAGAUGCUACAAAGGCUUUAAUUAAGGGACUUACUAACACCCCACUAAGUUUUGGAAAUUGAAUUCUUUUUUGUGCUUACCUGAUGUUUCUUUUGUCCAGACUUUCACAUGUAUUUCAACAGAGAACACUAUUUCCCCCACAUCUGUUUUAUGUUGGAAGCCGUUUACUGUGAUAGCAGCAAAGCUGAGAGUUUAACCAGUAUAAGGAAGUAGGUAGAAAAGCGGGCUCGGAGGCUUUUUGCUGGGGAGCAUUUUGGGCUUAGAUUGAAAAUUGUAAUACUACACAUCUUGAAACAUCAGUAAGAGAAAACUAAUGUACUUUAUAGAAUUUGAAUUUUAGAAUUCCCAUUUCACAAAGCAAUGUCAUUUUCUUUGAAAUGGCAACUUUAUGUUUCUAGACACAGCAUGCUGCUCUUUCUCUAAAAAUAUGUUUUUGUUUGUUGAUGCUAUAAGGUUAGCCUUUGGCUACCACCCAGGUCUGAUUUUUCACAAGCCUAGACUCAUAUUUUGUUCCAUUUCGAUGUGACUGUUUUUAUUUCUGGAAAUACUCUGCUUUACGGCACAUUAGUCCUAGCUAGAGCACUAUGAUCACAUUAAUCUACCGGAGUUAUUGUGCUCAACUACCCCCUUUCUGCCAACAGUGGAGAGAGAUGCUCUCAUCUUUGAACUCUAGGGCCUAAUGGUUGCCCAGGUCAGCUAUAUCUCCCUUGUUUUCUUAGUGAAGUAGUUAUUCUCUCUUCUAUCCUUUGAAGCAAUUCCCUUCUGCCUGCAAAGUUUGGUUUGAACCUUAAAGGUUUUCAAAAGCACUAAGAAAUACUUCUGUUUUAGUAACGUUAUAUUUUCCUUCAGUAUUUCUAGUUUACAUGUAAUAUCUGUCAAGUGGCACAUUUUUUAGGUUCUCUCUGUUGUACCAAUAGACAACUUGAAGGAGCUUUUAUGUGCGUACCACUUAAUUUGUGUAUGAGGAGGACAGAACCUUAACCUUGCUGAAAAGAGGAGUCGAUAAGAAAAUCACAAGAAGUGUUUAACCUGUGAUGACAAUUUUAACUUGCCAUUUUUUCAUUUUUCACAAGGUCAGAUAUAAAGUGUGCAGUUUCAGCAAAGUCGAGUUUAUACAGGAAUCUUAUGACUGGGCUUCAUUUUUACAUGUGGGUUGGUAGGGAAGGAUAAUUUGUAUUGGAUGAUAGGGCAGCAUGCUUCCUUUUUACGUGUGAGUUGGUAGGGGAGGAUGAUUAGUAUUGGACAAGAGGGCAGCAGGCUCCUGUAUGUGCUGUCAGCUCCAUUGGACCGCUGUGAAGGCCUUCUGACCCCAGAGCAGUUUGAGAUGCUGCAGUGGCCUGGAUGGGUCUAUGUGUCCAGGUGACAGGGCCUGCUUUCUUCCCCGGGCGAUGUGCAGAGAUCUUUGCCAGGGGUCAAAGCGUCGGGAAGCUUGGGGUCCUUCAUCCUGACGUUAUCACCAAAUUUGAGCUGACCAUGCCCUGCUCCUCCCUAGAAAUCAAUGUUGGACCCUUUUUGUGAAGAUUGGUCUCUGUGGUGUGAUUCUCUUCCCAGGUGUCCCUUUCUCCUCCCCUAGUGUCCUUAAGUCCUCCUCCACAGGGAACAUCUAUUUGGGCUUUGAUGUUUAAUAAAGUAGAAAGCACUGUCUG
RNAcentral lists this long non-coding RNA (1849 nucleotides) under Homo sapiens (human). RNAcentral describes it as "HSALNT0047793". The record is from RNAcentral. Lineage: Eukaryota; Metazoa; Chordata; Mammalia; Primates; Hominidae.